UCGGGAAUUUUGGGCAAUGGGCGAAAGCCUGACCCAGCAACGCCGCGUGAGGGAUGAAGUAUUUCGGUAUGUAAACCUCGAAAGAAUAGGAAGAAUAAAUGACGGUACUAUUUAUAAGCUCCGGCUAACUACGUGCCAGCAGCCGCGGUAAUACGUAGGGAGCAAGCGUUGUUCGGAUUUACUGGGCGUAAAGGGCGCGUAGGCGGCAUAUUAAGUCAGCUGUGAAAUCUCCGAGCUUAACUCGGAACUGUCAGCUGAUACUGAUGUGCUAGAGUGCAGAAGGGGCAAUCGGAAUUCUUGGUGUAGCGGUGAAAUGCGUAGAUAUCAAGAGGAACACCUGAGGUGAAGACGGGUUGCUGGGCUGACACUGACGCUGAGGCGCGAAAGCCAGGGGAGCAAA
This 400-nucleotide ribosomal RNA is filed under the name uncultured bacterium. RNAcentral's name for it is "bacterial SSU rRNA". It matches the Rfam family "Bacterial small subunit ribosomal RNA", at positions 355 to 772 of the family's 1533-position model. The record is from RNAcentral.